AGAUCUUUAAAUAUGUUUACAAGACUAACAUCGAUACUCGACAUUUUAUGCCUAUUAUCUUGAACUUCAAUUUGUGAUUAUAGAAACUAUAAAAAAAAAAAUUGAACAGUAAGUUCUACAAUAACAUUAUCAUCACUGACAUUGCCAGUUAAAUAAAGGCAACAGUAGUAUAUUGUUGUUCAAAACUCAUAAAUCGAUUGAGAAAAAAAAACAAAUCCGGGCUACGAACUCAAACUGAGGGAAACGCAUCAAAUAUAAGAGGAAAACAACGACACAACAGAAACACAACAUUGAAAUGUAA
RNAcentral lists this long non-coding RNA (301 nucleotides) under Mytilus galloprovincialis (Mediterranean mussel). Lineage: Eukaryota; Metazoa; Mollusca; Bivalvia; Mytilida; Mytilidae. The record is from RNAcentral.